Molecule: unclassified non-coding RNA, 237 nt
Filed under: Hevea brasiliensis (rubber tree)
Lineage: Eukaryota; Viridiplantae; Streptophyta; Magnoliopsida; Malpighiales; Euphorbiaceae
Source: RNAcentral
GCGAGUCAGUAAUCGUGCCAUCCCUCUUCGAUCUGUAUUCCAAGUACUUUGUCAAAAUGUCAUCAACUGUAGGUGAGCGUGGAAGCUUGACUAGCUUAUCCUGCUGUGUAACAAAUUCCCAGUCAUCAACAAGUUGCUUUCUAAGUGUUGAAGGUAUUUGAAUCUUGAUAGCUUUCUCUACGGAUUGAUUGUCCUUGGUGCCUGAGUCAUUCUUUCGUUUCUUCCCCUUUGGUGCAU